This 14300-nucleotide long non-coding RNA is filed under the name Citrus x clementina. RNAcentral's name for it is "Citrus clementina (C. clementina) long non-coding RNA (CCLE_LNC002308)". The record is from RNAcentral. Lineage: Eukaryota; Viridiplantae; Streptophyta; Magnoliopsida; Sapindales; Rutaceae.
AACUCAUUUUUUUUAACAAGCAUUUUAUUGUUUAAUUUAAAAAAUUCGAAAACCGAUUGGUCUUAUAUACAUGAUAAAGACUCACCGACGCCGAACCAUAUUCAUUUAAAUUAGUUUUCAACUGAGAUUUGAAUUUUGAAAUUACAUACACAAACACGCUCAAUUUAAAAAUAAAAAAUAGUAAUUAUAAAAUAUUUCUGUCGUCCUCCAUUCAAUUAUCAAAAAACGACUUUAUAAUCGAUUUUAACAUAAGGUAUAUGGGUUAACAAGUCCCAAUAUUGUCCUCCAUCCUUUCUGCACUUCUCUUCUAUCAACGGACAUCUCCAGAUCUGUAAUUGCAAAAGUGAGGAAGGCAGGCCCUUCUCCGGAAAGUAUUUAAGCUUGGGACAUCCAUGGAGUCGCAAUUCAGUGAGGUUUUGAAGAUCAACAAUUGAAGAAGGUAGGCGUUCCAGAUUUGAAAAUAAAAGAAUGCUCAGAGAUGUUAGAGAGGCAGGAAGAGGAAGCGCGGUCCCUAAUCUUUUGUCCUCUAGUGGAAAUGACACCAUGUCGUCAUAACAUCCUCCGAUUUCUAGAUGUCGCAUAGAGGAGAAUCUGUGAAAUCCCCGACCCCGCUCAACCAUUGACUUCCAAAUCUCCAUAUUACCCCUGAUAUGAAGUGACUGAAUCUUGGUGGGAAGGCCAUCUUCUUCAAGGCUUGGAAGCUCACCUCCUAUUCUUAAUUCUUGAACAGAAGUCAGGUUGUGCAAUCCCUUGGGUAAGGCCUCUAGUCUCUUGCACCAACGGAUACAGAGCUUAGUGACUUUCGCACAAGGCAGUCCCCCUUCGGGAAAGGACACCAGAUUUCCACACCUCUCUACACUAAUCUCUCGAAGCUGGUGGAGAUUAUGUAAACCACUCGGUAAAAUUUUCAGAUUUUCACACUCAGAAAUGUAGAUAUCUUCAAGAGAUGUGUUGUUGUCCAACCUUUCUGCUAUUGACUCCAGAUUUCCACACAUCUGUAUACUAAUCUUUCGAAGCUGGCGGAGAUUAUGUAAACCACUCGGUAAAAUUUUCGGACUUUCACAAUUAGAAAUUCUGAUUGUUUCAAGGGAUGUGUUGUUGUCCAAUCUUUCUGCUAUUGACUCCAGCUUUGAACAUCCAUAAACAUCAAGGGACUUAAGAGACGAAGGUAGAUUGCCAACUUCAAGGGACUCAAGCGUGGCAGGUAACUCGUUUUGUGAAAAUAUACAUGUCAGUGAUGGACAAUCCCUAAUUUCCAACUCCUCGAGAAGAGAUGAGGUGUACCUUCUGCCGCUGCUACUCUGGAUGCCCUCUUCCACUGUCAAAGUCCUUAUAUUAUCGCAACGCCAGAUCUUCAACUUCUUAAGGCUCGAUGGUAGCUGGACAGCAGCAAUAUAUGUCAACGAACAACAAUACUGAAUAUUCAAGAUCUCGAGAGACGAAUGGGUGUCGCACAUCCAUGCCUCUGGUAACGAUUUCAGUGCAUCACAAUGCCCAAUCUGAAUUUCCUUCAACUUGGAAGGCAGAGCAACCUCAGGAAACGAAACAAGGGAACUGCAGUUGUAGAUUUCUAUCUCUCUCAAGGAACUGAGGCUGAACGAUGAUUGUGGCAGCUUCACAAGGCCUUCGCAUCGGUUCAAUUCUAGAUAUUCAAGUCUGCUUGACAAUUCGCAGAGCUGCUGUUGUUGGUCUUUCUCUUCCUCCGCCACCAAGGAUUGAAGUUUGGGACAGCUGUCAAUCGUCAGUCUUUUGAGAGAGCAAAUGUCUUGCAGUAAUUCGUUAUGACUCUUCCAUAUAUAUGUUUCAUUUUUAAUAUUAUUUAUCCCCAAUUUUUCCAGUUUUGGUAGUCGCGGCUUCAAUGGCCCUGCGAGAAACACUUGAUUUGAUGCAUCUCUACAAACCACUGAAUUCUGUGAGCCGAGAUGAUCGGUUGCACUUCUCCACACAACCUUUUUACAUCCAUUAAUCUCUAAUUUGCAAAGAGCUGGAAGACUCGUAACUGAAACUGACAAUUCUUCACAUCCUCCAAUAACAAGCAUCUCCAAUGCAGGAAGGCAUUCUGGCAAUGUUCCUUGUAGUUUAGAACAUCUUGAAAUGCGAAGCUCGCUCAAUUUCGGAAACCCUUCAACUCCCUGACCAGAUCUAAGAGGAAUCCAGUCUUCCCAUUCUUGCAAGUCUUCAAAACAAAGAGUCUCCAAGCAUGGAAAAGGAAUCGGGGAAUCAUUCCCAUAGAACUCUGAACCCAAACUCUUUACUCUACUCAUUCCACUCACUUCAAGAUGCUUUAGAGAGGGUAGUUGCCCGACUGACGGCAGGGUAGUACACACGCCGCAAUCUUGAAAAUCUAAGGUCGCUAAAUUUGAGAAUAAGGAAUCUCCCAACCAAGUUGGAAAUUCUUUACCUCCAUAGCCACCGAUACAAAUUUGUUCCAGAUUUUCAUGAGGUUUUAGCAUGUCGAGCACAUCCUUUUCAGUUUCUGCCUCCCUUGAAGACAAACCAUCGGUACUCCGUGUCCAUCGAAACCUUAACACUUUAAGAUUCUUCUUUCCAUUCAAUUGAGCCUCCUUUGCAUCACCAAUGUCUUUUACGUUCUCCAAUUUUGAAAUGUUAAGUGUCCCACGAAGAUGCGUCAACAAUUUUAGCUCUCGUAUCCCGGAACCACUGUCUUUUCCCACAACAAAAUUACACAGCGUCUGAAGGCAAGUCAACUUACCAAUUCCUAGUGGCAUCUCCUCCAAUGAACCUGUAUAUGAAUUAUUGAGAUGAUGCAAUUUGAUGAGAUUUCCCAUGUCUGCACACAACUUCUUCAGUCGCAGACAGCCCUCCAACAGAAGGGUGUGCAAAUUGUAAAGCGUGUUGACUGAUUCAGGCAGAGUUAUAAUGCCAGUUCGCGAUAAGUUAAGGUACCUUAAAUACCUCAAAUCACUAAUUGAAUCCGGUAGCUCAGAGAUUUGAUAUCCAUGCAGUGAGAAAACCCUCAACCGUUGGAGUUUGAACAACAUAGGAAGAAUGCUACGAGCCAAGUAUCCACGCGAACUAUUUGACUGCAUUACUCGUAAAAAUGUUCGCAAAUGUUGGAUAUCGUACAAGCCCUCAAACCUUUUAACGCCAUCAUAUUUUCCACAAAUGUACGAUAGAUGACGAAGAUUUUUGGAAAAACUUUGUUGCUUGUUAACCUCUGAGGUAUACUCCAUUGUGAAGUAUAUAUCCCCCGCAGCCCAUUGAGCAAGGUCGUUGACAAGGUCAUGCAUCACAAAUCGUGAUUUAUUGUUGCUUGAUUGCUGGAAAAAAGAUCUUGAACGUAGCUCUUGAAAGAACUUUCGACCUAGAUCUUCAUUAGGAUUCCCACUCUCUUUGUGAUCCAAGAAACCCGAAGCACACCAUAAUAAAAUUAUCUCCUCCUCUUCAAAUUCAUAAUCCUUUGGAAACAAUGAGCAGUAUGCAAAGCAUUGUUUCAAAGGUGCCGAAAGAUAAUAGUAGCUCACUCUAAGCGCCGGUAUAAUGUCACAUCUCUCUUCUGGUAAAUCCCAUAUCUUGCAACUGAGCACACCUUCCCAAUCACUCCGGUCAAGUUUACCUCGUAAGAGUCCACCAAGAGUUUUCGCAGCUAAGGGCAAGCCGUUGCAUUUGAUCACUAUCUUCUUGCCAAUUUCCUCCAAUGGCUUGUUUGAACUGAAAUCUCUUGUCCCCAAAGAGUGUUGAGCGAACACAGACAGACAAUCAUCAUUUGACAGCUUUUUCAAUUGAUAAGCCGGAGCAGUCCCCAUGAUGGCUGCAACCCCUUGAUUACGAGCUGUGACAAUAAUCUUACUUCCCGGUGCGCCAGCUUCAAAUGGAAGUCUGAGUCGAUCCCAACCAUUGUAAUUCUCAUUCCAAACGUCAUCUAAAACAAGCAAAAAUUUCUUUUGAGAUAACUUCUUCUUCAGCUCCUCUUGAAGCAAAUUUAAAUCACUGUCAUCAGUAGUCUGCUUAGUAAUGGAUCUUAGAAUUGUUUUUGUUAGCCUGAUAACAUCAAAAUCAUCAGAGACACAAGUCCAUGCCUUGAGAUCAAAAUGACCCUGCACUCGAGCAUCAUUAUAGACAAGCUGAGCGAGAGUGGUUUUACCCAGCCCGCCCAUGCCUAUGAUAGGAAUAACAGAGAAUUCACCAUCAUUUCUCAAAUCAUCCCUCAACAACAAUUCAACAAUUUCCUUCUUUUCUGCUUCCCUGCCAAAUACCUUGGCUUCAUUCACCAAAGAGGUUGUGGGUAGUCUUUGCCUGCCUUUUCUGGACCUCCCAGCUGAACUUUCUUUCAAAUUCAGCAAGUCUUUCUCUGUUAGAAUUUCUUGAAAUCUGUCGUUGAUCCCUUUGAUUUUGGACAUCAAGGCGAAAUCGAACUGAAUCGAUUGCAGAGUAAAAGUGGUGCUGCAAGUAAGAAUGAGCUUCCGAAACUCACUUGUUCUUGUACGACUGCUACUGGGUUGAUCCUGAGCCGCAGCGGGAUCUCCAUUUCCAAGCAGCAACUUCCUCCGGAAAGCCUCAGUUUGAAACUCAUCCAACAAGUCUUCAACAUCAAAAGCCAAGUUCUGAAGCUCGCCAAGCCACAACUUCACAAUCUCAUCAGUCCUCUUCUUCUCCUCAGCAUCAGCAAGCACCGCCUUGAUCUUCAAAAGCAUCGCCUUCCACUUCAUUAGAUCGGCCCGGAUUUGAUCUUGGCGUGGAAACAACCGAAUCCCCACUGAAGCUAACUUAUAGACCAAUAACUCAACGGACGCCGUCAGGAUUGCCUCUCCGAUGAUUGACAUUUUUUUUCUUUUUUUUUUUGUUUUGCAAAGAAAGAAACAGAAUUUUGAGUUUUGAAAAGCAAAAUGAGAAAAUUGAACAGUAAGUGGGCAGAGUCAAGCAAAAUGCGCGUAACAAGUCUUCCGCUUAUUGUUUAUUCCAGUAAAGUGAAAAUAAAAACAGAGCCCACCACCCAUUAAUAAUUUAGCAAUUCACCAAUCACCAGUCACCACCACUCGUUACCAUGAAUAUAAUAAAUUGCACCUUGAUAUUUGCAGUGUCCAGCAACAUUGACCCAGUGUCCGGGUAAAUGCUGAAUAAAGAGGAAAAUGGAAUGUAUCCACUACGAACCUUCGCUUUACAAGUCUUCAAACUCAUAAACCAAGUUAAAUCAAAACGUUUAUCUCUCUCUCCCUUUUUGCCAUAUAAUUACUUUAUUUAUUGAAUUAAUUUCCAUGCUAAAACGAACACUUAAAAGUGCACUAUAAUUUUUUAUGAUCACAAUGGUAAUAAAUUUUUUUUAUAUGAACACUCUUUUUAUUUAUGAAUUUCUCAAUUUUUAAUAUUUUUCUCACUCUUUUAAUCUUAUUAUUUGUAUUUUUCUCUUUAAAUUUUCUUUAUUAUUUAAUUUUUAAAAAAAAUAUGAAAAAAAAAAUAUUAUACUUAAAAAAUAAUAAAUAUUUUAUGGGAGCUUAUUGACAAUGAAAGAGCACGUGAAAAAUCUCACUUCAUAUAAAACUUUGUGAAAGGCAUUUGAAUGUGUGGCCACAUUUUCCGAACGAAACGAUAAGGCUUUAGCCUUAUAUUUGCAAUUAGUUUGUCUUGUAACUAAAUUAUUGCCGACAAACACCAUCAUGCUGACAAACCGUGCAUGCACGUCCUCAAUCACCCACGUCCUCUACUUGUUUGAACCGUGAUUCUCAAAGACUUCGACAUCGUAUUUCCCAUUAUUUCCCGUACUUUAUGCAUUAUUGUUUUGUAUGGCUUUUGGUGUUUGCGGUGUAGUUAGGGAUGGUAGCGGGUAGGGUCUGGUACGGGUUUAACAUUACCAAACCCGCAUCUACAAAAAUUUUUAACAAAGCCCAUUUACUGUGGGUUUGGCUGGUGUGCCUAGAGCUGGCAAUAUUUGACACGAUCCGAUUAUCCGACACGAACACGACAUAAAUAAAUGGGUAUGGGUCGUCAAAUUUAACACGAUUAUUAAAUGGGUCGGGUCCGGGUCAACAUGAUUUUUUUCCGUGUCGGGUUUGGGUUAAAAUUCUUGACCCAUUUACCCGAUCAAUGACCCGAUUAUAUUUUCUAUCUUAAAAUAAUUUACAUAUUCUUAUCAUUAAAACUCAAAUAUUAGAGAUGAUUUUUUUUUAUUCUUUAAAAAGGUGAAUAUAAACACAGUGUUUUAUUUAUAAAAUUUUAAAUACAUUUAGAGCUUCAAUAGUGUAAAUGUGUAAAAAUUGAUAGACAUGUAUAUUUUAUAAUAUUGAUAUAUAAUAUUAUAUAUAUAUAAUUAAAACCUCAAUAGUGUAAAUGUGUAAUAUAUUGGUAGAUAUGUAUAUUUUAUAAUAUCGAUAAAUUAUGUAUGUUUGUAUGUACAUACGUAUGUAUGAUAGUGUGUAAAUAUUUGAUGUAACUUUUGUUCAAUAUAUAGAUAUUAAACGGGUUAUUGGGUAACCCGAUUAUUUUUCCGUGUCGGGUUUGGGUCUCAAUAUUUUGACACGAUUAUUAAAUGGGUCGGGUUUGGGUCGACCUAAAUUUGACACGACACGAAGCUGACACGACACGAACACGACCCGAUGACCCGUUUUGUCAGCUCUAGGUGUGCCUAGUGGAUAUUUUGCAAGUUCCCACUUAUAAAAUCAUGCUUGCAACAAAAUCUAAAAAUUUAAAUUACGUAAUUCAAAUUAUAAAUUUAUAACUGUUGCCUAAAAAAAACCACAUAAAAUACUUAAUUGUAGAUUUUAUCAAUGUAAAUGAGAAAUGAAAAUAUCAACAUUAAAACAAAUACACAAAAUAUAUCAAUUUAACACGAAUUCUCUAAUUCAAUUACCAAAUAAAUAAGUCUAUCACAACUCGAAGUGCUUUCAAUUAUUGUAACUUCAAAUCCUUACAAAUUACAUAUUACAGACAUGAACACUAUGUUUUGACAUAGUGGCUUUUGGCUUGUCCAGAGAAAUUUAGGAUAGAUUUUGAUGUACUAAGGUUCUGUUUACUAUUGAGAUUUUGGAACUUUUGAGCCACACUUGAAAUUUGUAUUAUUCUAAUAGAGUUGUAGCCUUCGAUAUGUGAUUGGUAUUAAUCAUGUGUUAUGUUUACAGCAGUUAAAGGCAUAUUGAAUCAAAAUCCACUUUUGAUUGAGAUUUUAAAGUAGGUUUUUAAUUUGAUAGCCACUCGAGUUCAAAUAUUGGAACCAUAGUGCUUUAUAACCAAGUGAGAGAACUUGUGUCCUAAAAGUUGAGGGCUGCAGAUCGAGUUUUACUACCAACAACAAAAGUUGGUGUUAAGACUUUAGUUCCCCUCCUACUAAUGGUUAAGGAUAAUUAGGACUUUACAUCCCCUCCUAUUAAUAGACAUGGGUUAUUAGGAAUUUUAAAAAAAGGUUUAAAUAUUGAAAAAUUAGGUUAUAAAAUUCAUAAUACAAGAACAGUAAAUCAAGAUAAAAAUUUAAAAAUUUAGAACAAUGAGAGCGUAACUUGUAAGUUUCAAAGAAGCAUGUGCAGAUAUAUGCGUAUCAAUACCCAUUAGGGGUGGGCAUUAAAAUCGGGUUAACCCGAACUGAACCUUCAAUUUAGCAUAGAUAAUGAAUUUAUGCCUGUACUCUAUAAUGCAAAUAAUAUUAUGUUUUUAAUUCAAUUUAGCACCCUACAAGAAGAGAUUACCUUAUCGCUUCCAAUCCUUCCUUUAGAUCUAAGCCACUUCAUGAACUUCUUGAUCCUUGAUUCGUUCCAAAAUGUGAUAGGAAGUAUAUUCCUAUCAGGCUGAUUGUUGUCAUAUGCACCAUUAUGGAGAUAAAAGAUCUGCAUGAGCAACUUAUAAUUAAGAAGAAUAAUAUUAUUCAUGGUAAGCAUAUGCUCAACUUUAGUUGCAGAAACUAUGUCACCUGUAGGAAGUGCAAAGAAAUUCCAAUGUAUGCUGCUUGUUGUUUCCACUAUUUCAUUGUCACCAGAAUGUGAGUUUGAAUGACCCAUCCUUUUAUCUCUCUUUUUGUACCUUGCCUUUUGUUCGGGAGGAAGUUCUUUGUAGGUUUUCCCAAUAUGUUUUCAUAACUGUCAAAAUGAUAAUGAAUAUGUCUUAAAACAUAAAAAACUCACAAAAUAAUAUCUGUACAUGCUACAUUUAAUGAAUAUACUAACCCCAAUCGUAACGGACAAAUCUAAAUUUUCACUUCUCAAACGCUUAACUUCUUCAUUGCUGCAAAAGCAUAACAUCUAAUUACUGAUAUUUGGUAUGGGCGUGUUUCUUUCCCGAUAGGUAAAUCACAACGACUACUUACAAGUAAGAGACAAAUCCAUAAGUUGAAGAAGUUGGAAUUGCAUCCUGACCAUUUGCUUUUAGAAUAAGAGCACUUUUUUUCUGUAAGCCCCCUAGUAGUUGUUUACGCUUUCGUCGGUGACUGUCCAAGAAAAAUUUUAAAUAAUUAAGUGAAGGAUAAUUAUUCCAUCAAUAUGUAUUAAAUUUUUUUUAAAAAAAUGAGUUCCCCCACCUGCUAUUCAAAGUCACUGUGUACUCCUUACUUUUUAAUCUAUAAACAUUCCAUAUAUGGUGGAAUUCAAGCACAAAUUAUAAUUUUAUUUUAUUUUUUUUCCUCAUUUAUACCAAUGAAGAAAAAGAUGACAAGAAUAACAAAGGAAAGAUCUUUAUUUUUGCCCAAGACUAAGACCUCUCACACACUCACAAUAAAUGAAUGACAGAGUGAAAAAAAUUGUAUAUAAUAAAGGGAUGGGAUCAAGAGCUCUCAUUUCUUACUACAAAAUUUACGAAAUCUAAAUAUUUCAACAACAUAAAAUUUAAUGGAUAAUGAUCUUUGCUGCAUACAUUAAAAUCAUGACUAUUACCGUGCCCUCAACUUUGCGUCAUACAAACAAAUUUCAUCAUGAAACAAAGUACAAUGCUUUUUUUUUUAAUAAAAACAUACAUUAAAGGCUGCUGCGAAUAUGUAGGGGAUGAUGGGUUGUAACCAAGAUCAAAAUCAAUGCAUUGAAACCAAUAUGACAAAAUCCAUACUAUGAAUUAUUAUAAACACCUAAUAUAGAGUUAGUAUAUCAGAGGGAUUGAUACCUGGAAUGUACUUCAGCAAAACAGGACCCCUGAAAAUAAGAAAGAAAAGUUUUGCUCAACAUUCCAAAAAAAUAGAAGAAAGUAGAGCAUUUUGUCAGCUCUUUUUUAAAAAUUAUAUCGUUGUAACUUACACAAAAUUCCACUUAGCACAAUCGUAAGAUUAAGAUAAAGGCCUGCUUGCUGCACCAGCUUGAUAAACUUCAGCAGAUCAGAAUUCCCCUCCAAGUAAUACUAAAACUAAUUAAAACAAAAACAAAAACAAAAAAACAAAAAAAGCAAAACAUUUACUAAAGAACUUAUUUAAAAUAUUACCCUAGAUUUGAGACUACAAGCAAACAGGGCCUUCUGAUAAAAACAAAUUACAUGCCAUAAAUAAAAUUAUUACAAGCCCACCAAAGAAAUUUUCAGGGUUAUAGUGAUUACAAACCUUCCCUAACUUUAUUUAUCUUCACCAAUGAAAAUAGGUCAACAUUUAACAUUCUUUUACAACCAAGUACACCAAGUCUUACAAUUAAAGGUUUAAGGUUACAAAGCAUAGUUACUUAAGACUCUUAGCUUUAUCGUAAGGCACCUUAGAAAAUUCUAUUACCACACAAAAACCUGGGCCUAUUUCUUAUAAACACGGCAACAAUCACAUCCAAGGUCAAGCAAAUUCAACAACAAGCCCAUACGGCAUAUACCCAGCACAUACAUUGGCCGAUUUGAGGCACAAUACAAUAGAAUAUUAUCAUAAAACCACCACAAUAUCACUGGAUUCGAAUACAGGAACAAUAGAAAUUUAAUUGUUCAAUUAAAUCAUUACCCCAAAUCACGAAUACCAACGAGACUACAUUAAUUCAUGCCACUGGCAGCAGCACAUUCUUUAAUAAAAUCCUUCAAACAUAAAAAAUCAGCUACAUGCAAAUCUAGAAUUUAAAAGGAAAUAUACAAUAAUUUUUUGAAGAGAAGAAAUGCCUUUCCACUUAUAUUCAAGAUAAUUCAAGAAAAUGACAGGCCCCAAUUCGCAGCUCAUCAAAACAAACCCCAUUACUUGCAGUUGCUUGAUGCUCGAUAAUGUUACCUCUCUUUUUUUUUUCAAUUUAUAAUUUUUUCUUUUUUGUGAAUAACGGAAUCUCAAGAUAAAAUAUUGCAGUAUGACUUAAUUGUAACUCUAUCGGUUCAAAAAUAAAAAUGAGAAGCCCUAGCAAUUAUCAUUCGAUUAUCAAUCCCUAGAAAUCAUCUCAAUAUUUCAAGUAAUAAUUUCUCAAUUGCAAAAUCAAAUUAUUGAAACUGAAAUUUCAAGUAAUAUUAAUAAACUAAACUGAAACUUCAAGCAUAUUUAAAUGACAUAAUAAGAUUCUUAAUCAUAUAUUAAAUUAGAGAGAGAGCUCACCGAAACUAUUGGAUGACAUAAGAGAGAGAUACAGCAAGAGAGAUGAUUUACGACAGUGAAAAUUUGAAGCUAUGACUGACGAAAUGAAGCUGAACGCGAGAAAUUGAGCGACGAAUUGAAGCGAGAGUGACAGAUCGAGUAAGCCUGAGUAAAUGGCACUCUUUCGACUACAUCUUUGCUCUUUGCUGUGAUGGGUGGUGAAUAUUCUUGAAUACCAAGUUCAUUGAUCCAAAAUUCUGGAUGUAGGAGAAAACAAUAGCAGAGAGAAUACGAAGGCUGUUAUUUUGAGGAGGAGAGAGAGGCAUCACAAUCCAACGGUUGUGAUUUUUUAGAUAAGUCAAGUGAUGACAUAAUAACUUAAAAGCUUCAUCUUCCUCUAGCUUCCUUUCGUGAAACCCGAAGCAAUUCCUUCCAUCUCUACGAUAUUAACAAAAGCCAAAAUUUUCAACCAUAAUUACAAUUAAUUUGCUACUUAAACAACGUGAAGUUACAAAAUUUUGGUUUCUGAAUGCGGAGUUAAAAACCUCUAACAUCAAUAUAUUGGGAAUUGUGCCCUCAUCGUCUUAAGAUUAUUUGUUAAUAAUUAUGUAGAAAGGAAAAAAGAUGGAUGAUUUCAAUUUCCACCAAUCGAUAUGCAUGCACGAGUCUGAACUGAGACUGAGAAGACUAUUAGUACAGAGAUGGAGGAAAAUAAUCUACUGAAGCACCGAGUUGGCCAAUUUGGAUUUUUCGGAGAAGGUUGAUCUUUAAAGUUCAUUGUUUAUUCAACCAACCAUAAAAAAAUUUAUUGUUUAUUCAACCAAUCAUAAACAAUCUUUUGUAUAUUAAAAAAAAAUUUAAAUGUUCCAGAUGAAAUGGUAUUUUGAAUAUUAUCUGCAAUAUUCACGUGAUUGGUACCACGUUUUUUAUUUUCUUAUUAACAAAAUUAUUUAUUUCGUAGGGACCGCAUUCACGCUUCCAAGUUUCUCAUACAUAUGAAAUUUAACCAUUGCGGUUAAUUAGCAAGUUUUGACCUGGGAAGUCGGAUCCGGCCCGCAUCCACAAGAAUCUGAAAGAUUCGGAUCUGAAAAAAUGCGGAUUCAGACGUAAGAAAUUAAAUUCCGCACGGAUCCCGAUCCGGAUCCGAAUACAAGUGCAUCAAAGCCGGAUAUUCGGAUCCGGCUAAUUUUUAUAUUAAAUUAAAAUAUAUAUAUUAACUUAAAAACAAAUUUAACCUAACUCCCACAUUCACACGCACUCACAACACUUUACCAGCAGCCGCAACCCACAAAUACCUAACACCCAAAUCCCCCCAAUUCCGUAGGAUGUCGCCGUCUGCCUCACGGCCUCGCCUAAGCCUCGUGUCCAAGCCUCGAUCUGAGUCGGUUGCUGUCGUUGCGCGCUGCACGCCUCGAUCUGAGUCGGUCGCUGCCGCUGCACGCUGCACGCCUCGAUCUGAGUGAGUUGCUGCCGCUACACGCUCGAUCUGAGUCAGUUGCUGUCGAAUCCUCGCCAUCGAAGAAGCCUCUUGCCGUCGAAUCCUCGCCAUCGAAGAAGCCUCUUGCCGUCGAAUCCUCGCCAUCGGAGAAGCCUCGUCUAAGCACUUUAAUUAAAAUGGUAUUGGCAAGCCUUGUUGAAUCCUUUGGCCUUUGUUGAUUCAAUUUAGUUUAAUUUUGAAUAAAUUUCUUUGCUGAUUCGUUUCAUCACUUUAAUUAAAUGCAUUAAUUUUCAAUAUAAUGUAAAUGUUUAAUAGGUUUUGGGAUUAAGUUUUAAUUUGGAAAAUUGUUGAAUUUUCAAAAUUAAAAAUUUAAAUGAAAUCUUGGUGAAACCUGUUGUCAUAUGCUGAUUAACAUAGCUAGUCUCUGAAAUAAUUUCUUGAUUCACUAAUUAUGAGUUCAAAUUUGAUGCAGAAUGGGCAACCAGCCUACUGCAAACAAAUCUUCUGGAACAGUUCAGAUGAAGGGACAGCCAAUCCAGCAAAACAGUUAUAAACAACUCUAAAUAAAUUCAUAUACGCAUUGUAACUAAUUACAGCCUUGAUACUUCAUUUGGUUUUUGUUAAUUUUCUAUACAGUUGUGCUGUGCAUUAAAGUUUUGUUAAAUGAAAUCGGUAGGUGAGGAUUAAUUAAUCAAUUAAUUAAGAUCCAGUUAAUGUAAUUAAUUUUAUUGGAUUUUUUUAAUUCGAGUUCUAAAUUAAUCAAUUAAUUUAGAUUCAUGUGAAAUUGAAGUGAAUUAGUUUCGAUCUGUUUUUCGUCCUAUGUUUGUCUCUGUUUACUCGUACUUUUUUUUUAAAGAGUAUAAGUAACAUUGCAGUACAGUUAGCCCUUGCGUGUUUAAUUAGCAAUUGAAAACUACUGUUGCUGAUGAGGUAGAACAUUAUAACACUGUUGCUGAUGAGGCAGCUGGUAAUUCUUCUGGUGAAGAUAUUAAGACUAUUAAAGCUGAAAUGUAAUUAGAGAAAUAUAAUGCAUUCCCUUAGUUUGCUUUUUGUUUUUUAUAUUUGUUUUGCUAAUGCUUUGCUUAGAUUGCUUUUUGUUUUUUGAGAUUUUAUUGGCUUAGUCAUGGGGUAUUGUUUUCUCUUCUAAUUUCUAUUUUUGUUGUUAUGGGAUUUGAUUGUAGUGUACAUAUACGAAAAUUAUGUAAUCAAGUGCUUUUAAUAAAUCAUGAUCGAUUUACUAUUAAUUAAUUAAAUUUAAUUUACUAAAAUUACUUAUGUACACGAUUAAAAUAAUUUUAAUUCCAUGAUAUAUAUACGCGCGCGCGCACACAAACAAAAUGCAAUUAACUUUGAAAUAUAAAAUAUUUAAAAUAAUCACCGUACUAACAAUAUUUGCCAGAGUCUGAUGAAGAGAAUAUACACACACAUAUAUAAGCGUACAGUGGAAGGAUAAAUAAAAGAAAAUAAAGUUUCUACAGCUGAAUAAUGCAAACUCAUUUUUUUUAAGUAUUUUAUUGUUUAAUUCAAAAACCCAUUAUAUACAUGAUAAAGACUCACCAACGCCGAACCAUAUUAAUUUAAAUUAAUUUUCAACUGAGAUUUGAAUUUUAAAAUUACAUACACAAACACGCCCAAUUUUUUUUAAAAAGUACUAACAAUAAAAUAUUUCAACCGUCCUCUGUUUAGCCGCCAAAAACUGAUUUACCAUUUAUUACAACGAAAGGUAUACAUAGACGGAUAAAUAAUGCUAAUCAACCAAGUCCAAUCAUAAUAAUUUGAUUAUCAAUAUAUUAACCAUGUCCAAUCAUAAUAUUUAAUAAUCACCAAACUUACAAUUCCCAAGUUAGAUUAUACGUAUGAGAAUCUAGCAAGUCCAAUGAUAAUAAUUUGAUUUUUAUUAUAUUAACUGUGUCCAAUCAUGCUAUUUUAAUAAAGAUCACUCGAAUAUUUAUUUGUCCAACGGGUAAAAUUUCAAAACAAUUUUUGCCAAAGUCCUCCUCAGCUGAAUAAUGCAAACCCGUUAUGUUAUUCUACCAUUUCUUAAAUUUAAAGCAUUCCACCAUUUAAUAAAAAAAUUCAAAAACCCAUUAUAUACAAUACAAAAAGCCCACCGACACCAAACCAUAUUAAUUUAAAAUAGUUUUCAAUUGAGAUUUGAAUUUUAAAAUUACAUACACAAACACACCCGAUUUUAAAAAAUAAUAAUAAUGCUAACAAUAAAAUAUUUCAGCCGUCCUCUGUUCAAUCAUCAAAAAUCCAUUUGUCAUCUAUAGCAACACUCGGUAUAUGGGUUAACAAGUCCCAAUAUUGUCCUCCAUCCUUUCUGCACUUCUCUUCUAUCAACGGACAACUCCAGAUCUGUAAUUGCAAAAGUGAGGAAGGCAGGCCCUUCUCUGGAAAGUAUUUGAACUUGGGACAAUCAUAGAGAUACAAAUGAGUGAGGUUUUGAAGAUCAACAAUUGAAGAAGAUAGGCGUUC